Molecule: microRNA precursor, 89 nt
Organism: Cercocebus atys (sooty mangabey)
Lineage: Eukaryota; Metazoa; Chordata; Mammalia; Primates; Cercopithecidae
Source: Ensembl
UAUUAGUUUGAUGUAAAAAUAAUUGUGGUUUUUGCAGUUAAUAUAGGUAACGGCAAAAAUCGCAAUUACUUUUGCACCAAACUAAUAUA